Non-coding RNA from Phascolarctos cinereus (koala), 801 nucleotides. The record is from RefSeq and is a predicted model, not a curated record. NCBI's taxonomy places the organism in Eukaryota, Metazoa, Chordata, Mammalia, Diprotodontia, Phascolarctidae.
AUCCCCCACGCAUCACAAUGACCCCACUAGGGUGGCACGUGUAUGACCAGACACUGCAGCUCCUGCAGUUACACCAUCUGCCCCUCCCGGCUCCAGCUGGCCUUUCCUCUUUCCUCACUCCUUUCCAUUACCAUUCAGUAGAGGCUGUUUCAAGCAGAUGCACCAGGCAUCCUUAUACACCGUGGUGAAAGUGGUGCCAACGCAGCUAGCUACCGCUCAACCCAGCUGCUUCCUGCACUAUAGGAGCAGCCCGCAGGAAUCUCCCAUAAACUGUGUGAGAAUCCACUCAUGCCCCCUUCACCUCCUCUCGGCAAGUACUCUGUGUACCUUCUAUUCCAUUCUCCCGAUCGUAUUGAUACUGCCUCAGUUAAAGUAGACCAUCCCCCCUCUCCCAAAGUCCUUCCUGGAAUACAGGAGCAGUGAGGGCUGAAGGGAAGAAAGAUGCUAAACUUCUGGGCAAGAGGCUUGCCCCAAAGAUAAGACUCCUUGGGAACAUGCCUCUUGGGAACUUCUGAUCAGCACUUACAUAAGGAAGGCCUUCACCCACCUUCAGUCUUCAAGAGGUCAUCAACUAAUAACAAGCAGCUGGACGCUUACAGUACCAACACGGACCCCAGGGUUGAGACACCUCUGAACAAAUCUGGUAAGGUCAAGCUCGGUUUUUCUCAGUCCGCUUCAAUCUAGCAACCAAUUCGUAUAUCCAGGAGUAAGUCCCUCCUCACGCGGUGCUCAGUCCUGUGCGGCGCUCGGGAGUUUACAAGCUCUCUAGGGAAGCCAAACACACAAGCCACAGAGAACAAU